UCCAGACUCCUACGGGAGGCAGCAGUGGGGAAUAUUGCACAAUGGGGGAAACCCUGAUGCAGCGACGCCGCGUGAGUGAGGAAGUAUUUCGGUAUGUAAAGCUCUAUCAGCGGGGAAGAAAAUGACGGUACCUGACUAAGAAGCCCCGGCUAACUACGUGCCAGCAGCCGCGGUAAUACGUAGGGGGCAAGCGUUAUCCGGAUUUACUGGGUGUAAAGGGAGCGUAGACGGCGAUGCAAGUCUGAAGUGAAAGGCGGGGGCCCAACCCCCGGACUGCUUUGGAAACUGUAUGGCUGGAGUGCAGGAGAGGUAAGUGGAAUUCCUAGUGUAGCGGUGAAAUGCGUAGAUAUUAGGAGGAACACCAGUGGCGAAGGCGGCUUACUGGACUGUAAAUGACGCUGAGGCUCGAAAGCGUGGGGAGCAAACAGGAUUAGAUACCCUUGUACGA
Molecule: ribosomal RNA, 448 nt
Filed under: uncultured bacterium
Lineage: Bacteria
Description: bacterial SSU rRNA
Rfam family: Bacterial small subunit ribosomal RNA
Source: RNAcentral